ACCUGGGUGGCUCAGUUGUUAAGCAUCUGACUGUGGCUCAGGUCAUGAUCUCACAGUUUGUGAGUUUGAGUCCCACAUCAGGUA
This 84-nucleotide transfer RNA is filed under the name Felis catus (domestic cat). It matches the Rfam family "tRNA". From Rfam's summary of the family: Transfer RNA (tRNA) molecules are approximately 80 nucleotides in length. Their secondary structure includes four short double-helical elements and three loops (D, anti-codon, and T loops). Lineage: Eukaryota; Metazoa; Chordata; Mammalia; Carnivora; Felidae. RNAcentral also lists the same sequence under 3 other names. The record is from Rfam by way of RNAcentral.